This 374-nucleotide ribosomal RNA is filed under the name Bacillus pumilus. RNAcentral describes it as "bacterial SSU rRNA". It matches the Rfam family "Bacterial small subunit ribosomal RNA", at positions 1020 to 1395 of the family's 1533-position model. Lineage: Bacteria; Bacillati; Bacillota; Bacilli; Caryophanales; Bacillaceae. The record is from RNAcentral.
UGGGGGACAGAGUGACAGGUGGUGCAUGGUUGUCGUCAGGGGAGGCGUGAGAUGUUGGGUUAAGUCCCGCAACGAGCGCAAAACUUGAUCGGUAGUUGCCAGCAUUCAGUUGGGCACUCUAAGGUGACUGCCGGUGACAAACCGGAGGAAGGUGGGGAUGACGUCAAAUCAUCAUGCCCCUUAUGACCUGGGCUACACACGUGCUACAAUGGACAGAACAAAGGGCUGCGAGACCGCAAGGUUUAGCCAAUCCCACAAAUCUGUUCUCAGUUCGGAUCGCAGUCUGCAACUCGACUGCGUGAAGCUGGAAUCGCUAGUAAUCGCGGAUCAGCAUGCCGCGGUGAAUACGUUCCCGGGUCUUGUACACACCGAGA